AUUGAACGCUAGCGGGAUGCUUUACACAUGCAAGUCGAACGGCAGCGCGGACUUCGGUCUGGCGGCGAGUGGCGAACGGGUGAGUAAUGUAUCGGAACGUGCCCAGUAGCGGGGGAUAACUACGCGAAAGCGUAGCUAAUACCGCAUACGCCCUACGGGGGAAAGCAGGGGAUCGUAAGACCUUGCACUAUUGGAGCGGCCGAUUUCGGAUUAGCUAGUUGGUGAGGUAACGGCUCACCAAGGCGACGAUCCGUAGCUGGUUUGAGAGGACGACCAGCCACACUGGAACUGAGCCACGGCCCAGACUCCUACGGGAGGCAGCAGUGGGGAAUUUUGGACAAUGGGGGCAACCCUGAUCCAGCCAUCCCGCGUGUGCGAUGAAGGCCUUCGGGUUGUAAAGCACUUUUGGCAGGAAAGAAACGUCGCGGGCUAAUACCCCGUGGAACUGACGGUACCUGCAGAAUAAGCACCGGCUAACUACGUG
This 484-nucleotide ribosomal RNA is filed under the name uncultured bacterium. Its description in RNAcentral is "partial 16S ribosomal RNA". It matches the Rfam family "Bacterial small subunit ribosomal RNA", at positions 30 to 507 of the family's 1533-position model. The record is from RNAcentral.